Molecule: ribosomal RNA, 441 nt
Filed under: uncultured bacterium
Lineage: Bacteria
Description: partial 16S ribosomal RNA
Rfam family: Bacterial small subunit ribosomal RNA
Source: RNAcentral
CCUACGUGAGGCAGCAGUGGGGGAUAUUGCACAAUGGGGGAAACCCUGAUGCAGCGACGCCGCGUGUGGGAAGACGGUCCUCUGGAUUGUAAACCACUGUCCCCAGGGACGAAGAUGACGGUACCUGGGGAGGAAGCUCCGGCUAACUACGUGCCCGCAGCCGCGGUAAUACGUAGGGAGCGAGCGUUGUCCGGAAUUACUGGGUGGAAAGGGAGCGUAGGCGGGGAUGCAAGUUGGGGGUCAAAACUACCGGCUCAACUGGUAGUCGCACUCAAAACUGCAGCUCUUGAGUGAAGUAGAGGCAGGCGGAAUUCCUAGUGUAGCGGUGAGAUGCGUAGAUAUUAGGAGGAACACCAGUGGCGAAGGCGGCCUGCUGGGCUUUUACUGACGCUGAGGCUCGAAAGUGUGGGGAGCAAACAGGAUUAGAUACCCCGGGUAGUC